RNAcentral lists this microRNA (23 nucleotides) under Parasteatoda tepidariorum (common house spider). RNAcentral describes it as "pte-miR-35u-3p". Its record names the gene pte-miR-35u-3p. Lineage: Eukaryota; Metazoa; Arthropoda; Arachnida; Araneae; Theridiidae. The record is from miRBase by way of RNAcentral.
ACACCAAGUCGUUUAUUUGCUUU